Non-coding RNA from Phalacrocorax carbo (great cormorant), 460 nucleotides. The record is from RefSeq and is a predicted model, not a curated record. NCBI's taxonomy places the organism in Eukaryota, Metazoa, Chordata, Aves, Suliformes, Phalacrocoracidae.
CCUGCGGAUCACCAAUCGCCAGGCGCAGAAUCAGCGAGUGCCCGCCUCUUGCCAUGCCAAUCACAGGCUGACACAGCCGUGCACCAAUCACAGAUCGGGAAUACUCGACCGCAACGACGAUCCCCACUCCUCCCUCUAAGUCAAUCCCUCCGCCGAACUACCGGAUCCCGGGGAAUCGUUUCUUCUUCAUCCCCAACCAAUCAGGACUCGUUACUCAGAUGUCCACUACCCUCUGAAAGACGGGUUUGAAUCACUUUUGUACCCAGGAGACAGCAAGACAACGGUACUUUCAGAAGGGAAAACAGAAGCAAUGAACUUUCCUGUGCAAGUUGAGAUGAAAGAACCGGGACCUCUACCGAGGCCUCAACACUGCCUUCCGAAAGCACACAGAACCAACUGCACACACGCUGCCUCCCCCAGCCCGCACCUCCAUUGCUAACCGUUAAACCGAUACCUGGCU